This is a non-coding RNA of Acanthosepion pharaonis, 107 nucleotides long. The record is from the annotation of a GenBank genome assembly. Lineage: Eukaryota; Metazoa; Mollusca; Cephalopoda; Sepiida; Sepiidae.
GGGCCAUAUCAUGUUAAAACGCCGGUUCUCGUACGAUCACCGAAGUUAAGCAACGUUGAGCUUGGUCAGUAUCUUGAUGGGUGACCGCUUAAGGAAUACCAAGUGCU